CCAGCUGGGCUCCCCUCAGUCUGUGGCUGGCGUCCCCUUCCCCUCUCCCGCCCACGAGUCCUCUCCUCCCGGGCUUCCUCUCCUUGGCUGCCGGCCCGUCCCCACAACUGGGAGGGAUGCAUCCCUGGCAGGCGGGGUCUGCGGACCCGUACAGGGCAGCUGGGGCUGGGGCUGGGGAUGGCCUCUGAGCGGGGCUGCAGCCCGCGACUCCGGGUCUGCCCUGGUCUUCCUUUCCCGCUCCCUGAGGAACAUCUCAGUGGCGUCUGCGCUGCUCCCUGGGCUGAGAGUCUCCGGCUUAAAGCCCAGCUUCUGGUGGAGUCGGGAAAAGGGAUCCUCAGUGCCAAGCGAGCUUCUGUCUCCUCCCUCAGUGUUUCUGCCUCAGGGUGAAACGUAUGACCAUCGAUUUUAAAAAGACAGUUACAUUCCCUAACUAGCCCAGCCCAGCUUGGGUGUGUUAACAGGAACAGCACCACCAGAGGCGUUGGAGACCCAGGGACAUUCCAGUCCUAAAGAGCUCCUGGCACAGUUUGGUUUGUUUUGGUUUUUUCUUUUUCUUAAAUUGUGGGGCAGACUAAGUAGUAUAGAGGGAAAAAUAAUUGUCAAGAAAUAUUUUUUCAUAUAACAGCUUUAUUGUGACAUUGUUCACACACCAUGAAGUCCAUCCAUUUAAAUGGUACAAUUCAGCAGCUUUUAGCAUAUUCACAGUUGUGCAACAAUUAUUAUUCCAGAACGUUUUCAUCACAUCAGAAAGACCAGUGGAAAUGAAUGACCUAUCCACCCCUCCCCAGUGGUGGUUCUAAAGAAGUUUCUUAGGUCAUAUGGGCCUCUGUCCCAGGACUGACUGCAGCCUUUUCUUCCCUGGUCAACAUUUCCUGUGCCUUUCAGAAGUUGGUCUCUUCUCUGCAAUUGAACCCUGGCAGAUGUGAUGGUGGUCAGCAUGCUGGGGGGCAGUCACUUGGGGCUCCCAGGAAACAUGCUGAUUCUCCUGAGUCUCUCAUUCGGGGUUACAGAACUGUCGUGCACCGGAGGAAGCCCAUUCAGUACGUUUUGGUUACUGAGACCCUCGAAUUCCCAUAUGAAUUGUAGUAGCAGCUUUUUGCAGAUGUGCCUGCUGGGAUUGUAAUCGAAACCACGUUGUAUGUAUGGAUCGCUCUGGGGAGCACUGCCAUUCCAAGAGCGCUGUCUUCUGAUCCAGGAAUGUGCGCGGUGUGUCUGUCCAGGUGAUACUGCUAUUGUUGCUGCCUGUGCCCUACCCCCAGCCUUGGUUUUGGAGUUGAGUGCCCUCACCUCCAGUGGCAUCCAUCCAGACACCAGCACUGACACUGGCCGUGCUCAGAACUGCCUCAGCCCUGAAGACACAACUGACAAAUAGAAGGGGGCCACGCCCUGUUACAGCAGGUGCUCUCAAUUUGUGGGUCCUUAUGUAACUGCAUGUUGUUAUUCAGGAUCGCCCGUUCUACAUUGUGUGGCGCUGCUGCAGUGUCUCCUAGUUAUUUGUUUCUGAUCUGAGAAGCAGGAGCAAGGAACUCAGAGAGAGAUCCAGGAAGACAUCUGACUCUGUUAAGAGACGACAGUCACAGCGACACGGGGAGUGAAGAAACUUGCAGCAAAGUAAAAUGACUUCAGAAAAAUUGCAUCAGAGCUGCAGGUGUGAGAGAGCCUAAGCCUGUCUCAGAGUGCAGGGGACAAGUGGAAAGGAAUGUGUAAGAAUGCUGGUGACUCAGAAGCAUGCUUCGAAGCUGCCCGUGUCCUUGCCAUCCAGAAGCGGAGCCUGGGAGCUUCUGAAUUUCUCCAGAAUGCGGUUUACAUUCACCUUGACAGAUACCCAGCUUUCCCUGCACUAUUCGUUGAAUAGACUAUUCUUUCAAUGGAGUGUUGUUGGCGCCCUUGUUGAAAACUGACUGUAAAUGCUCGAUGAGUUUUCACUGGAGGGAAUUGAUCUUACAGAAGAUGGACUUAACUCAGGCCUCUUCAGAAUGGACAAAUGAACCUGGAGAAAGACAGUCAAAUCUGUGCAGACAUUGAAGUUCACGUGAACGUGCUGUAUCCCUGAGCCAAAGAUCGGACAAGUAGGCAGCGCUUCUUGAGGACAGAGGAGUGGUUUUUAAGGUUCUCCAAGAAUGAAUCCCAGGGAACCGGGAUGACCAGUUGUCAAACUGUGACUUUGCUCUUUGGACGGUGUGCCCACCAAAGGAGAGGAAAACAAGUCUAAACUUACUUUCCAGUUGAAAAUGGAAUGGAGAGUUAACGUUGGAAGCCGGGAGAGUCUGUCCUGUGAUGAAGCGGUCUCCGAGCCACUUCCACUGGGACGUCACGUCACUGUCUGGGCCCCUUGCACAGCCUGUGCACAGCGUUCCUAGGAGAGAAUUCAGCAGCGCAGCAUCCUCUCCGAGCUCUAUGAGUUGAUCGGCUUCCACUGCAAGUCCGUCUUCUUCAAGUGGGUGGCCCCCGUGCAGCGCGUGGCCCCCGGCAUCCCGGACCCUGGCGGGAAGGCCUGCUACCGACUCCUUCUGCAGACGCUUCCCGGCUACAGUCUGUCACUGGAUCUGCAGGACUUCAACAAAGUGUAUGAAGGUUUUCCAUCAGACUGUUUGCUCAGCCCCUUCCUGAAUGAGGGAUUGAAUUUUCCACAGGAAAUCUUAUGCAAGAGAGUGACAAGGCACAUGGGUUUCCCAAAAGGCAAUAGUUGUUGUAAUAAACUCUCACAUUGGUGAACUUUUUGAAUACAAGCGAGUUGAAAAUUUUAUCACUAGGUCAUAUGCCACAAAUCUGUCUUAAGAAUAAAAAGAUUCAGAUUUUAUAGAAGAAGCAGUUUGAAUCAAGUAUAAAUUAUAAUUUGUACACUAGUUGGUGUUAGAACUUAUACUCACUCUUACCAUAAUUGCCUGUGGUAGGAACUGGAUCAUUAUUUAUUUAUUUAAAAAAAAAAUCCUCAAGGUUCUACUUGCCCCAUUCUUGAUGCGGCAGUGCUGAGGUUAGUUAAGUUGGGACAUUUAGAAUUCUUGGCUAGGUUUUCAGGACAUUGAUUUCAGCCUCUUUAUCUUUUUCAGAAUCUCUUCUUUGUGUCGGUCUUUGGUCUUUUGACAAUGUGGAAAUACUGCACAGAUCUGUCUUUCCCUUUUUUCCUGUCUUUAUGGGAAAAGAUUUCUGUAAGACACACUACUAGGACAUUAAGGAUUUUGUGUGGGGUAAGUUUGGUCGGCUCAAAGGAUUUCAAUUAAUAUGUAUUAAUACUUGCUAUUCAGCUAAUGAUAAGAAAAUUAUAAAAUAACUUAAGUAUACAUCAAUAAAUAUAGUACAAUAAGCCCAUCACCCAGAUUAAGGAAUUCACAAACAUUUCCAUAUUUCCUUUAUUCAGACCUUUGUUCUUUUACUUGUCCUUUGUUGAAGUAUUUGACAGCAAAUUCAAGAAAACAUGUCAUUUUACCCUAUGUACUCAAGUAGGCAUGUCUGAAAAAUGAGGGCCAUUUCUUUGGUCAGGUUUUUCCAUUUGACUUAUGUGCUCGUUAAGUACCAGCUGUAUCAGGCAUCUCACUAGGCAUUAGGAAUCCUUGGGGCAAUGAGACAGUCCUGGCUUCCAAGGAAGUUAAGGGCUGAUGGAAGAAACCAACACAGGAGCUUAGGUGCCUCACCUAAGGUCCCUGCUGGAUGACACCAAUUGGAAAAAAUUUGUGCACAAUACAGUGGGAUUCACAGAAGGGACUGGUCAGACUAGUAGGGCAGGCCGUGAGAGAGGAGGUCAGCAGGGCUACAAGAGGAGGAAUCAUUUGAUCAGAAUCUGAAAUCUUUUCUGCCAACCUUCCUACCAAGGCCCUAGGGCCCAUCACACACAACCCUGUGCUGUAACUGUUUUUGAUUCCUGUUACCAUGUCUCCUUCAGGAAGGAUUUUAAGGUGGAAAAUAUUUAAAAUCAGUAAUUGUUGCCAGAAGGGACAUAGAACAAAGAACAUGGAAACAACACAAAUGUCCAUCAGCACAUGACUGGAUAAAGACAAGGUGAUACAUAUCUACAAUGGAAUACUACUCAGCCAUAACAGAUGCAAUUUGCAGCAACAUGGAUGGACCUGAAGACUGUCAUUCUAAGUGAAGUGGGGUGAAAAGAAAGAAAAAUGCCAUAUGACUUCAUUUAUGAGGAAUCUAAAAUUAAUAGCAAUAAUAAUAAGACCACAAAUGAACUAAUUGUUAUUUUGAUUUCUUGAAUAUGCUUAAGCACAUCUGACUGUCCUUUGUGAUUGGAUUACCAUAUUCUGUUUAUUAUUCUUUUGUAGUUGGCUUUAUUCCUCUGGUAACUAUGUAAGUUUAAAAAUCUGAAACUCUAAUCUGUUCUUAGAAACAAUAAUUAGUACAUAUAUGUAACUAAAACAUGCAGUAUACUCUAUACAUGUAUUUACAUGCAAUGUGUAUGUGGAGUUGAACUGUAAUAAUUAUACCUAAUAAUA
Molecule: long non-coding RNA, 4439 nt
Organism: Camelus dromedarius (Arabian camel)
Lineage: Eukaryota; Metazoa; Chordata; Mammalia; Artiodactyla; Camelidae
Exons: 13
Source: RefSeq, a predicted model, not a curated record